UUCCUGGUGUCUCAGAUGGUAAAGAAUCCACCUGCAAUGUGGGAGACCUGGGUUUGAUCCCUGGGCUGGAAA
RNAcentral lists this transfer RNA (72 nucleotides) under Ovis aries (sheep). It matches the Rfam family "tRNA". Rfam says of the family: Transfer RNA (tRNA) molecules are approximately 80 nucleotides in length. Lineage: Eukaryota; Metazoa; Chordata; Mammalia; Artiodactyla; Bovidae. The record is from Rfam by way of RNAcentral.